GACGAACGCUGGCGGCGUGGAUUAGGCAUGCAAGUCGAACGGUAUCAUCCUUUCGGGGGUGAGAGAGUGGCGAACUGGUGAGUAACACGUAGGUUAUCUACCCUCAAGACGGGGACAACCCAGGGGAAACUUGGGCUAAUACCGGAUGUGAGCAACUUUUAGUUGUUUGAAAGGUGGCGUAAGCUGUCGCUUGGGGAUGAGCCUGCGUCCUAUUAGUUAGUUGGUGAGGUAACGGCUCACCUAGGCAAUGAUAGGUAGGCGGCCUUAACGGGUGGUCGCCCACACUGGGAUUGAGAUACGGCCCAGACUCCUACGGGAGGCAGCAGUCGAGAAUAGUCUACAAUGGUCGGAAGACUGAUAGUGCGACGCCGCGUGAACGAUGAAUCCCUUCGGGGUGUAAAGUUCUUUUAUAUGUGAGCAGUGCUUCUUAUAUUAACAGUAUGGGGAGAGAGAUAUUAGCAUAUGAAUAAGCAACGGCUAACUCCGUGCCAGCAGCCGCGGU
RNAcentral lists this ribosomal RNA (502 nucleotides) under uncultured bacterium. Its description in RNAcentral is "bacterial SSU rRNA". It matches the Rfam family "Bacterial small subunit ribosomal RNA", at positions 28 to 521 of the family's 1533-position model. The record is from RNAcentral.